ACCUGGCUGGCUCACUUGGUAGGGCAUGGGACUCUUAAUCUCAGGAUCGUGAGUUUAAGCCCCAUGUUGGGCG
RNAcentral lists this transfer RNA (73 nucleotides) under Ailuropoda melanoleuca (giant panda). It matches the Rfam family "tRNA". Rfam says of the family: Transfer RNA (tRNA) molecules are approximately 80 nucleotides in length. Their secondary structure includes four short double-helical elements and three loops (D, anti-codon, and T loops). Lineage: Eukaryota; Metazoa; Chordata; Mammalia; Carnivora; Ursidae. The record is from Rfam by way of RNAcentral.